This 961-nucleotide long non-coding RNA is filed under the name Brassica rapa (field mustard). Its description in RNAcentral is "long non-coding RNA (BRAP_LNC006672)". The record is from RNAcentral. Lineage: Eukaryota; Viridiplantae; Streptophyta; Magnoliopsida; Brassicales; Brassicaceae.
ACUAACCCACCUUUGACAUUUUGAACAACAACGUCGACCAAAUUAUUUUUGAGAAAAAUGGAUGGUGUUUUGAUACUCAUAGAGAGAAACUUACUAAUAUUAACGAUACAAAUUUAGUUUGAUCGUUUGCGAUUAUGGAUGGGAAUACUGGAUUUUCUGUUUUUCUUCUUCUACUCAUUAAGUUAAUUUGUCAGGUCAAGUGAAAUCAAAUGAAAAAGUCAAAAGGAUAUAAUCUAUACUAAUAAAAGGGACCUUUUGAGGCUCCAUAGAGCGUCCACAUCAGCAAAAAAAACUUCUCCCGAAAGAUGACAUGUGGCAUAAAAUAUAGUUUUACAUUUUAAUAUUACUAAUUUUCGAAAAUUAUAAAUAAUAUGUAAACAUACAGCAUAAAAAUGGAAAAACUACAUUAAAGAUAUGUAAGAUUACCAUUUUUCACAUAAAGAAAAAAGACGGUUUAUCUCCAUAAUGUAACAUUACCGUUUUCUAAAAAAGAUACUAAUAAAAUUGACCUUUAAAAGCUCCAUAGAGCGUCCACAUCAGCAAAAAAGCUUUUCCCGAAAGAUGGCACGUGGCAUAAAAUAUAGUUUUACAUUUUAAUAUUACUAAUUUUCAAAAAUUAUAAAUAAUAUGUAAACAUACAGCAUAAAAAAAUGGAAAAACUACAUUAAAAAUAUGUAAGAUUACCAUUUUUCACUUAAAAAAAAGACGGCUUAUCUUCAUAAUGUAACAUUACCGUUUUAUAAAAAAAAAACAAAAACAUUAUAUAUAAUUUUGAAAAUAAUAAAUAUAUGUAAAAAUACAACAUAAAAAAUGGAAAUACUACAUUAAACAUAUGUAAGAUUACCAUUUUACAUUUUUAUUUAAAAAUAAUAAUAUGUAAACAUACAACAUAAAAAUGGAAAAACUACAUUAAACAUAUGUAAGAUUACCAUUUUUCACUAAAAAAAAAAGACGGUUUAUC